UACGUAGGGGGCUAGCGUUGUCCGGAAUUAUUGGGCGUAAAGCGCUUGUAGGCGGUCUGUUAAGUCCUGUGUGAAAGCCCUUGGCUUAACCAAGGAAGUGCGCAGGAAACUGGCGGACUUGAGUGCCGGAGAGGGUCGCGGAAUUCCCGGUGUAGAGGUGAAAUUCGUAGAUAUCGGGAGGAACACCAGUGGCGAAGGCGGCGACCUGGACGGACACUGACGCAUGAGACGGCGAAAAGCGUGGGGAGCAAACAGG
This 256-nucleotide ribosomal RNA is filed under the name uncultured bacterium. Its description in RNAcentral is "partial 16S ribosomal RNA". It matches the Rfam family "Bacterial small subunit ribosomal RNA", at positions 524 to 776 of the family's 1533-position model. The record is from RNAcentral.